GUGAAUGGAACACGCACACAAGGAGAGAGCAUUGCAGAUAGCGGGGGACUGCGUCAUAGCCUGCAGAUGUGGUGCAGCAAGAUGAGGGAUAGCUUUGCUGUGACCUGGGUGUCAAACUAUGUGCACCCGCCCGACAGAUUCAGGGUAAAUGGUCCGAUGUCGCACUACCCCGAGUUUGCAAAAACCUGGAAUUGUCCAGCAGGAAGUCCCAUGAACGCGGAAAAGAAGUGCGUCAUAUGGUGACGUCAGUUGGGACAUCAGCACGGAAAGCAACGAUAAAAAUCUGCAGAAAUUAUUAAAGCGUAAAAAGCGCAAUUAUAUAUUAUACGCGUGGUAAUGACGCAUAUUUCAGUUUUACCGGUGAUAUUGUAAGGCAGUUAAGCACACGAAUUGUGCACUUUUGGGUAGAAUUGUGAAACAUCGCACACGUGUACUGCAUGAGGUCCUGAUGAUAUUCCGAUAUUGUUGCUAUGGUUGUGACAUAAUGCUCAAUGUGCCCAGGUUUAUUUGUGUAUCCGCUGCACAAAUAUGACAAGACGUGCGUGCCAGGAACUAUAUAUAUAUAUAUAUAUAUACGUGUGACGCCUACAUAAUAAUAAUAAUAAUAAUAAUAAUAAUAAUAAUAAUAACUUAAACCGUGAUAAUGGCGAACAAUCCUCUCAUGUAGUAAAACUCACUUUCUGCGUGCGAGGAAUUGCGAGUGUAUAUAAAAGAAAAAUGUGAAAUAAUAUAUCAACUAGUUAGUGGACAGAGGGUCACGAAAACAACAUCAAUUUUAAUUGCAAAUGAUAAUUAAGUGCGCUUGAUGAACCGUCUUACCUGUUGGACAUCACCGUGGAUCUUGGCUGGGAUGUGAACGCACCGUAACGUAAAACAAUGGGUGGUUUUGCAAGCGAUCUGUUUCGAGAUGUAUUACCACAUCAAUAUUAUAAAAAAUAAAAAGUAAAAUUAUAAUCUCCCAGCACAUUUUGAUCACUCAAAUAUAGGAAAUAUAGGACUGUUUAUUCUCAAAUAUAGGAGUUUAUAGGACAACGCAUAUGCUUAUUAUAAGGCAUUCUGGCGUAUUUAAUAGUGUUGGCCGAUCUGUGUUCAACUUUUAUAGACAGGUAUAUACUUGGUAACAGGAAAACUGGUUUUCCCCUGCUAUAAUAGUCAGUCCAUAGUUAGCAAUGAGUUUACAUCUCAACUAGGCCACAGCUAUUUCUUUGCUUAUUUUUCGCAUAUGAAUCUAUGAGAAUCCGUUUUCUGUUUUUCCCGGGUCUUCUCCAUUGUAGAAAACCCCAAAUUUACUGCUGAUCACAGGACUCUCAGAGGGUAGCUUUAAAAAUGAGUGAGAUUAAUUUUGAAUAAGAAAAUCGCAGGCGCGAAGGGGAGGUAGGUGGAGGGAGGGGUGUCCCCCUCCCCCGGUAGAGAUUUUUUUAAUGGGGUGCUAUUUGAUGCACUCAGCAGCAAUCUGAACAUGAUAAUUGUUGCUUAUAUAGGCAUGAAAAAACAUACAAUGUACCAAAAACGGCUAGACCCACUCCACGUAACGAAGAAAAACUGGAUUCUUGCAAUUGCGUGAGAUUUUCGGGGACUAUCAGAAAUGUGCGUGAGAGCGUCAGAUUGUGCUGAAUUGAUGCGAGUCUCAUGCCAAAUGCGUGUGCACUGUGAUCAUACAAAUAAUCCAGUCACGUGGUUUUGCAACCAGUCAAAUAAUGAAAUAUAGGAAAUAUAGGAAUUAUAGGAGCUCUGGGAGCCAUGUAAUAU
Molecule: long non-coding RNA, 1749 nt
Filed under: Priapulus caudatus
Lineage: Eukaryota; Metazoa; Priapulida; Priapulimorpha; Priapulimorphida; Priapulidae
Description: uncharacterized LOC106813176
Source: RNAcentral